AUGGCCAAGACUUGCUUCAAGACCGAGCACCCCCUGGAAAGGAGGCAAGCUGAAUCUGCUAGGAUCCGUGAGAAGUAUGCUGACAGAAUUCCGGUGAUCGUUGAGAAGGCUGAUAAGUCUGAUGUCCCGGAAAUUGAUAAGAAGAAGUACCUUGUCCCUGCCGACCUCACUGUUGGCCAGUUUGUCUACGUGGUGCGGAAGAGGAUCAAGCUGAGCCCAGAAAAGGCCAUCUUCGUCUUUGUGAAUAGCACCUUGCCACCGACUGCUUCGUUGAUGUCAGCGAUCUAUGAAGAAAACAAGGACGAGGACGGCUUCCUGUACAUGACUUACAGUGGCGAGAACACUUUCGGCUCUGCCUAA
RNAcentral lists this ribosomal RNA (360 nucleotides) under Triticum aestivum (bread wheat). RNAcentral's name for it is "partial small subunit ribosomal RNA". The record is from RNAcentral. Lineage: Eukaryota; Viridiplantae; Streptophyta; Magnoliopsida; Poales; Poaceae.